UACGAAGGGGGCUAGCGUUGCUCGGAAUCACUGGGCGUAAAGGGUGCGUAGGCGGGUCUUUAAGUCAGGGGUGAAAUCCUGGAGCUCAACUCCAGAACUGCCUUUGAUACUGAAGAUCUUGAGUUCGGGAGAGGUGAGUGGAACUGCGAGUGUAGAGGUGAAAUUCGUAGAUAUUCGCAAGAACACCAGUGGCGAAGGCGGCUACCUGGACCGGUUCUGACGCUGAGGCGCGAAAGCGUGGGUAGCAAACAGG
RNAcentral lists this ribosomal RNA (253 nucleotides) under uncultured bacterium. RNAcentral's name for it is "partial 16S ribosomal RNA". It matches the Rfam family "Bacterial small subunit ribosomal RNA", at positions 524 to 776 of the family's 1533-position model. The record is from RNAcentral.